GCACACUGCACCCUCAAUCGCCACUAACUUCACUGGAUUCCCUUCACUCUAUUAAAGAACGUGGAGAGAACAUCACCGCGUUGAAUACGAUAACUAAUUAAAAAUGUGAACAAGUGAUAUCUAGGUGCUGCGUUCAAGCGCUGGUAACUGUGAAUAGAAACAAAAUGGAGUCACGUACAACACGUGUUUUCUGGCAGAGAUCGACACACGAUAGUGUAUUCGGCUUCGCUACGGAAUAUUAAUGAAGUUCUCAUCGUAAUAUGCUUAUUACAAAGCGCAAUGGUUGCAAAUAGUCUGUGACAAGCGAGGCCUACAAACCCAGUUUACAAGGGCUUUCUUUACAGCUAUCUUUUUCAAUAUCAAUUUUCAUGGCGGAUGACCUAAAGAAGUAUCAUAUCUCUAUUGAAAAGGUGUGAAAGCAGUAAAAAAUAAUGGUUCCUUUAUAAAGGCUUAUAUCCAGAAAGACACCAUAUAAAGGUCAAGCGCUGACAAUCUUCUUCAAUAUUCUUUUGGAGAUAGGGAGUCAUGUUUGACUGGUUAUGGGCCCUGGUUAAAAACUUGGCACUGAGCAUCGUAAUGCAGUAUAAAAUUAAUGAAUUGCUUGGGACAUUAAACUUAUUUUUGCUUGUCUUCUCUUUUCAGGCUUGGAACCUUGGAUGAGAAAAUAUUAUAAUCUUGUGGAACUAUCUAUAAAUAAAAACUAAAUUUGUGUUGUUAAAAA
Long non-coding RNA from Drosophila teissieri, 721 nucleotides. RefSeq lists it as uncharacterized. The transcript has 8 exons. NCBI's taxonomy places the organism in Eukaryota, Metazoa, Arthropoda, Insecta, Diptera, Drosophilidae. The record is from RefSeq and is a predicted model, not a curated record.